GGCCCCGCACAAGCGGUGGAGCAUGUGGUUUAAUUCGAUGCAACGCGAAGAACCUUACCCAGGACUUGACAUACUACAAAUUCUUUUGAGAAAAAGAAGUGCCUUCGGGAAUGUAGAUACAGGUGGUGCAUGGCUGUCGUCAGCUCGUGUCGUGAGAUGUUGGUUAAGUCCCGCAACGAGCGCAACCCCCUAUCUUUAGUUGCCAGCAUUAAGUUGGGCACUCUAGAGAGACUGCCCGGGUUAACCGGGAGGAAGGUGGGGAUGACGUCAAGUCCUCAUGGCCCCUUAUGCCCUAGGGCUACACACGUAAUACAAUGGUAUGCACAAAGGGAAGCGACCCGGCGACGGU
RNAcentral lists this ribosomal RNA (349 nucleotides) under uncultured bacterium. RNAcentral's name for it is "bacterial SSU rRNA". It matches the Rfam family "Bacterial small subunit ribosomal RNA", at positions 917 to 1264 of the family's 1533-position model. The record is from RNAcentral.